RNAcentral lists this ribosomal RNA (377 nucleotides) under Salmonella enterica. RNAcentral's name for it is "bacterial SSU rRNA". It matches the Rfam family "Bacterial small subunit ribosomal RNA", at positions 1 to 376 of the family's 1533-position model. Lineage: Bacteria; Pseudomonadati; Pseudomonadota; Gammaproteobacteria; Enterobacterales; Enterobacteriaceae. The record is from RNAcentral. RNAcentral also lists the same sequence under 1 other name.
AAAUUGAAGAGUUUGAUCAUGGCUCAGAUUGAACGCUGGCGGCAGGCCUAACACAUGCAAGUCGAACGGUAGCACAGAGAGCUUGCUCUCGGGUGACGAGUGGCGGACGGGUGAGUAAUGUCUGGGAAACUGCCUGAUGGAGGGGGAUAACUACUGGAAACGGUGGCUAAUACCGCAUAACGUCGCAAGACCAAAGAGGGGGACCUUCGGGCCUCUUGCCAUCAGAUGUGCCCAGAUGGGAUUAGCUAGUUGGUGAGGUAACGGCUCACCAAGGCGACGAUCCCUAGCUGGUCUGAGAGGAUGACCAGCCACACUGGAACUGAGACACGGUCCAGACUCCUACGGGAGGCAGCAGUGGGGAAUAUUGCACAAUGGGC